This 460-nucleotide ribosomal RNA is filed under the name uncultured bacterium. RNAcentral's name for it is "partial 16S ribosomal RNA". It matches the Rfam family "Bacterial small subunit ribosomal RNA", at positions 338 to 795 of the family's 1533-position model. The record is from RNAcentral.
CCUACGGGAGGCUGCAGUGAGGAAUAUUGGUCAAUGGGCGGGAGCCUGAACCAGCCAAGUCGCGUGAGGGAAGACGGUCCUAUGGAUUGUAAACCUCUUUAGGCGGGGAGCAAUGCCGGGCACGUGUGCCCGGAGGGAGAGUACCCGCAGAAUAAGCAUCGGCUAACUCCGUGCCAGCAGCCGCGGUAAUACGGAGGAUGCGAGCGUUAUCCGGAUUGAUUGGGUUUAAAGGGUGCGUAGGCGGAUUUUUAAGUCAGCGGUAAAAUGUCCGGGCUCAACCCGGGCCGGCCGUUGAAACUGGGGAUCUUGAGUGGGCGAGAAGUAUGCGGAAUGCGUGGUGUAGCGGUGAAAUGCAUAGAUAUCACGCAGAACUCCGAUUGCGAAGGCAGCAUACCGGCGCCCGACUGACGCUGAGGCACGAAAGCGUGGGGAUCGAACAGGAUUAGAUACCCCUGUAGUC